CGUGGAACCAGCGCUUCUGGCCCCGGCAGAACACCGCCUUCCAGAGGGAAAAAGAAGAAUUUAUCUACUCAAGACUGAAAGCCAAGGGUCUGGAAACAAGAGAUGAAACAGGCCAGAAAGUGACAUUGAAUGCAGAGGAAAUGGCUGACUUUUACAAGGACUUCCUACGUAAAAAUUUUAGAAAGCAUUUGCAUUAUAACAGAGAUUGGUAUAAACGUAACUUUACUAUCACAUUCCUCAUGGGACAAGUUGCUCUGGUGAGAGCCCUGAGGUGGCUUCGUCGGAAAACAACAAAUGCUGGAAAUCAGUGAUCACAGCUCCAUGAAGAAUGUAAUGCUACCUAGACUGCCUAGGUGUGCUAUUAACUUGCUAAUAGUGAUGUUCAGAAUCUGAAUGUCCAAUGUAAUGAUUGCUUAGGUCUGUUUGUUAGACUUCGUGUAAAUAAACGUUGCCUUUAGCCUUAAUUUACA
RNAcentral lists this long non-coding RNA (470 nucleotides) under Chrysolophus pictus (golden pheasant). RNAcentral describes it as "lncRNA (ENSCPIG00010007351.1)". The record is from RNAcentral. Lineage: Eukaryota; Metazoa; Chordata; Aves; Galliformes; Phasianidae.